AACGAACGCUGGCGGCAUGCCUAACACAUGCAAGUCGAACGAGACCUUCGGGUCUAGUGGCGCACGGGUGCGUAACGCGUGGGAACCUGCCCUUAGGUUCGGAAUAACUCCCCGAAAGGGGUGCUAAUACCGGAUAAUGUCUUCGGACCAAAGAUUUAUCGCCUUUGGAUGGGCCCGCGUUGGAUUAGCUAGUUGGUAGGGUAAAAGCCUACCAAGGCGACGAUCCAUAGCUGGUCUGAGAGGAUGAUCAGCCACACUGGGACUGAGACACGGCCCAGACUCCUACGGGAGGCAGCAGUGGGGAAUAGUGGACAGUGGGCGGAAGCCUGAUCCAGCAAUGCCGCGUGAGUGAUGAAGGCCUUAGGGUUGUAAAGCUCUUUUACCCGGGAUGAUAAUGACAGUACCGGGAGAAUAAGCGCCGGCUAACUCCGUG
RNAcentral lists this ribosomal RNA (433 nucleotides) under uncultured bacterium. Its description in RNAcentral is "partial 16S ribosomal RNA". It matches the Rfam family "Bacterial small subunit ribosomal RNA", at positions 29 to 507 of the family's 1533-position model. The record is from RNAcentral.